This is a long non-coding RNA of Athalia rosae (coleseed sawfly), 2013 nucleotides long. RefSeq lists it as uncharacterized. The transcript is spliced from 2 exons. Lineage: Eukaryota; Metazoa; Arthropoda; Insecta; Hymenoptera; Athaliidae. The record is from RefSeq and is a predicted model, not a curated record.
UCUCUCCGUACUCUAGAAUUACAUCUUAUUACUCUUCAAUCCAUAAAUAAUCUUUUGGAUUCAUCAACAUAAAUGUAUACCUAUGACUUCUACCGUUUUUGAGGAAACCAAUGUGAGUCAUGUUUCUCUUCACUACUUCCUAUUCACAUGUUGUCCAGAAAUCCCUGCAACUUAAGAGAUGGUAAUGUAAAUUGUUCAUGCAAUAGCUCAUUGCAAAACGGAGCUGCCUUAAACCAACAAUACAGUUCAGCUAUGGUUCAGCCUUUUCAGUACAUUAAGGGACGUUGGAUCAUCAACAUUUCCAGAUUAAACAGCUACUUCACAGCUAAUAAUAAAGUGAUGGCUAGUUGUAUUUUUUCUGUUACUCCGAAAAAAUCAUCUAUUCUUUUCGAAUUUUUUAGCAAACUGAAAUCGUUGGAAGACCUACUGCUCGUUGACCAUCCUCACAAGGUCGCCCUGCGACCCUCGAAGGUAUUACUGGUAUUACUAAUCAAAAACAAGUUCCCUUGACUUACUAUCGUCAUGCGAUAAUCAAAUUGUUGUUCCUCGACGCUCAUGCAGAGGACUCCAGGUGAAACUAGAUCCCUCGUAUUCGUCAUUUGUCACAUAACCAGAACUUCGAUAAGUGUUAAUUGAAAAGUAUAAUCGUUCUUAUUAUAAACCUCGUGAUUCCGCUGGCCGUAUCAUAAUGUAAUAUAUUUACGAUUAUAGUGAUUGUUGACAAAGCUUCUGGGUUGAAAUUACUGGGAUGACCCACCGGAACAAAAAAACGACCGCGUGAAGCAAGUCAGUCUCAAGUUCAACAGUUGAGAAGUAGUUACGUGGGAAGGAGAACACAUCGCAGUAUAAGGAGUAGAACGUGACUAUACGUUUACUAUUAGCGAGCUCCAAAAUGUCUUCCUCAAACAAGAAACGCAAUCCAUUGACGCAUUUCGCGUCCAUCGACGUCAGCGGUACAGUUUAACGGAGAUUCCAAUAGUAUACGGUAUAUAAAAGCUGCUGACGGUUAUUAUCGGCUCAUUGUCGGUCCUGAUUCCGCAACUUGAGCGAGGUAGUUCUCUUCUAUCCUGCGGCACGAUACGAACUCUGAACAACUCCCAGGUUCGAAAAUCAAAGUCAAAAUAAAUGCAUUGUUGAUUGUUUUUGAUACAACAUAACACAUAAUUAUGGGAAUGAUGAAGAAAAUUUGGGGAUGUAUCUGUUGUAUAAUAGACAAUAAUUUUAUUGACAAAAUUGAAUGAAAACUUAUUUAGGUAUCAUAUUCGGGCUAGGAAGCGAUCAGGAUAUUACGAACAACAGAUGUACAAAUUCCAGUUUAUUAAUAUACAUACAAUGAAUGGUACUUCGGACUAUAAAACUUAAUAAUGGGAAUCAUUUUUUGAUGAUGGGAACAACGUACAUGAGUAACAAAAAAUACUGUUGAACUUGUUUGGGAAUUUGGAAGAACUUUUUUCAGUAAACAAUCGAGUUUAUAUCGUUUUUUUGCUGGCGAGUGAUCGAUGGUGCAGAUUGUUGCUUCAGAUGCUUACGUCGUCUGCGAGUUCUUUGACUCCAUGCUGAAGUUACAUAAUGCGCAGUAAACCCGGAAGUUUAGUACCAAUAACGGGAACCCCAACCACCACCCCAUCCGCCACCCCAAUAUCCGUGACCUCUACCACCCCAUCCGUAUCCUCUGCCACCCCAGCCUCCGUGAUAAUGGCCCCAUCUCGGUCUGUAGUAUCCGUAGUGUCUAGAAUUCAAAAAAUUUCAACAAAUCAAUUGAGCUGCUCCAAGUUUUUUGAAGCCAAAAGAAAUAUUCCAUUUCUUGGGUCAAGCUUAGAGAAACUGUAAACUACUUAUACCCCCAAUGCGAAGCUUCGGCUUCCAGAUCACUUUUUUCCCCAAUGUUAGGGUCUGCGCCUUCAGGACCGGGAAUAGGCUGUUCCGGUGACGGUCCAACUUCUGGUGCUAUUUGAGACCCCAGAUCGAUCGCAGGUCCUGCGGAUACGCAGAUAAAAACUGCGAAGAGCAAUA